RNAcentral lists this ribosomal RNA (494 nucleotides) under uncultured bacterium. RNAcentral's name for it is "partial 16S ribosomal RNA". It matches the Rfam family "Bacterial small subunit ribosomal RNA", at positions 28 to 507 of the family's 1533-position model. The record is from RNAcentral.
GACGAACGCUGGCGGCGUGCUUAACACAUGCAAGUCGAACGGUGAAGCGCCUUCCUUUUUGGUGGGUGUGGAUGAGUGGCGAACGGGUGAGUAACACGUGAGUAACCUGCCCCCUUCUUCUGGAUAACCGCAUGAAAGUGUGGCUAAUACGGGAUAUUCUGGGUCUGUCGCAUGAUGGGUCUGGGAAAGAUAUUGUUUCGGUGGGGGAUGGGCUCGCGGCCUAUCAGCUUGUUGGUGGGGUGAUGGCCUACCAAGGCGGUGACGGGUAGCCGGCCUGAGAGGUUGGGCGGUCAGAAGGGGGGUGAACUGCGGACGGGACGCCUGCGGGAGGCAGCGGCGCGGGGUGUGGGAUGGUGGGCGUCGGCCUGAUGCAGUCGCGCCGCGUGGGGGAGGGCCCGCUUCGGGUUGGGAGGCUCUUGCGGUAGUGAGGUAGGCCGGCCUGGUGUGCGGGGUGCUAGCCGGUAGCUGAAUAAGAAGCGCCGGCGAACUACGUC